CCCGGCCCUCAGGGAAGCCCGGCCCGGCCCUCAGGGAAGCCCGGCCCGGAGGGAAGGCCUGCCCUUUCAUCUCGCUGCCGCCCUGGGCACACACCGGCUGACACAUUUCCCUGCCCGGAUAGGCAAGGAGGCCAAUGGGACGUGGGCUGUACCAGCUGCAGUGUGGCCAGUGGAACCAGGGCAGUGACCACACACCUGGGCUGAGGCAGCUCCAGCUCUGGGGUCAGUUCUGGGUGCUUCACUACAAGAAGGAAAUGCGGGGCUGGAGCAUGUCCAGAGAAGAGAAUGGAACUGGGGAAGGGUCUGGAGGACAAGGAGCAGCUGAGGGAGCUGGGAGGACUCAGCCUGGAGAAGAGAAGGCUUGAGGGGCUCUUCUUGCUCUCCACAACUCCCUGGCACGAGGAUGCAGUCAAUGUGAGAGUCAGGUUCUGCUCCAAGGGAACAAAGCACAGGACAAGAGGGACUGGCCUCAGGUUGUUGCAGGGGAGGUUCAGGCUGGACAUCAGUAAAAAUCUCUGUGGAAAGGCUCAUCCAGCCCCAGCACAGAUUGUCCGGAGUAGUGGUGGAUUUAAAAGAGUUUAAAGGGUUUAAAAGCCGUGUAGAUGUGCCACUUGGGGACGUGGUUUAAUGGUGGCCUUGGCAGUGGUGGGGGAACAAUCGGUCUCGAUCUUCAGGGUCUUCUCCGCUAAGUCCAUGAUUGCAAAAGUUAGGUCUGUGCUUGUUUCCAAGGUUUGAUCAGCUGAACACUGUGUUUGGGAGGUUUACAGGACAUCCUUCAACGUCCUGACUGUGCUUGAGCAGAAGUCAUGCUUUCUCUGGCAGAAGAAUGAGCAAGAUAUGUGAACAAGUGCACUGCAACUUUUCUGCUUGGAAAGAGACCUUUCCUGGACGAGAAUCCUGUUUUGGAAAUUGUUAUGUAUGCACACAAUGGCUGAGUGCAGCUGUUUGAGUACAAGCAGUGCUGUAGCUGGGCCUUGCCCUUGUGGCAAGAGAAGGCUCCAGUGUGAAGAUCAGCCCUGACUUGGCUCAUACAGAACUGGGCUGGCCCAGAACACUUUUCUGCCCCUGACAGGCCAAAAUGGCAAUGCCUGCUUUUGGUGAACAAAGGUGAUCUGUUUCUACACCUUCAGUCUGUGAUUGGUGACACAGUUUUCUCAGGGCAUUUCCUAAUGACUCUAAAGAUAAUUUUUGAGUGUCUUAUUGCUUCCUGAAGGUGAAAAUCCACUCAGUGAUUUGCAUUGCUGAAUUGUGUCCUUCAGUGUGUCCCAGCUGUGGUUUUGCUUUAAAAACCCCUGCAGUUCAUCUGAAGAUACCUUCUUUUGCAGGCCAGGGAUAGGCAGUGGUACAAGAUGAAUGAUGCCUUAAGACAUCUCUCUGCCAAAGUACAUUUACUUUUCUAUGCCAGGAAGCAAUGAGUGUGAAAGGAUGUUCAGAAUAUACUCUCUCCCGUUACUGUUGCUUUCUUCUCUGAUGAGUUUUGGGUUUUGUCAUAGGAAAGAAUGGCUGUUUGUAAGUUCUGUCUGUCCUGCAGUUUGACAGGCCAUUUUUUCUCCCUUGCUGUCUGGCACUAAACCGGGCUUGUAUAAAUUGCCAGAUGUGUGCUCUCUGAGAAGGGCCAGCUGUGAAAAGGGGCAAAAUGGGCAUCUGAGAGACUAUAAAGAUGAGUCACUGCUUGAAAGGGACAGACAUGGCUGGAAAACCGUGAUCAAUUUUUCAAAGCCUUGUGCUGCUUCAGUUUUCUGCAUGUCAUAUCAAGUGUUCCAGAAAAUGACAGGCCUGAAAGCCAUGAGGACACUGCAAGAAAUCAAGGAGGUGGAGAAAGCCCACACACACUGAGGAGGGGGAGAACCUGAACAGAAGCCAGCCAGACAUUCCACCUCCCAGGAAAUGCAGGGCACCCUCACCACCAGCUGGGACAUGGCCCUGGGAACCUGCUCAGCUGCUCCCACAGGGAGAGAAGGAUCCUCCUGAUGGGGGAAGCUCAGGGGAGGAUGGUUCAAGAAUGAAGGGAAGGAAUUCCAGAGAGGAGAACUAAAAAGUAGCAACACUCGCAACACUGCAACAGUUGCCUCACUCUUUGCCAGCCCCUUCAAGUUCAUGUCUUUUGUAGCGACCUGUUCAGUCACCACACUUCCCAGAAUAAUCUCCCAGGGACCACCAAAGGCUGCAGACUCAGAGGAAUGUUGACCAUUAAACCUGACAUUUACGAUUGAAACAAUACAACCAUCCCAGUCACAAGUGGUGCUUCUGAUUGUUCUCUAGAGAGGAAGAAUGACCAUGCAAGAAACAACAGACAGGGUUUUUUAAAAUUUGUUUAACUCAAGACUUCCUUUAUGAACACUCCCCUGUGAUGCAGAAAGGUGGGGGCUUUGUAAACCUGUAUUGAAAGAGCACACAGAGAUCUCAGGGAAAAUCAAAUCACCAAAAAUCUCCUUGCAGGGACAUCUAACUGAUCUUGGGACUACUUUGUGCAGCCAGCAAGCUCGGUGCUGGUGGUGAAGCUGAGGCUGAGUGGAGCUGCUGCUGCCUACACCAUGCCAGCAGCCACAGCACCUUCUCUGUUAUCUGAUUUCCCCUUUGGAAAUCAUGUUCCUUGAUCCUCUCCUGCCCUCAGCUGAACGUGGCCUGAGUGGAUUUCUGCACUCAAAUGUCUCUGAAAUCAGUGCAGCUGUGACCAGAACCAUGGGAACUUGAGUGAAACACACUCCAGGAGGGAUUUCUGCAUUCAACAACUGGAAAAAGCUUGCCUCUCCAAGGGUUUUGUCUGACAGCAUGGCUCCAGCAGAGCUGCAGAGUGGGUUCAGAAGCACAGCAGAAUAUGCUUCCACAAUCACUCGAGAGAACUCCAGCUCCUUAUGACGAAAGCUGCACAUACAACAUGCAGUGGGAGAGGUUUUGUCAUUCAAGGAAGAGGCCUGUGUGUCUGUGCAGCAGCACAGACUGGGCUGCAGGAACAGAAGAGCUGUCACUGUGUCUGGCACCAGAUGCCACAUCAAAGAACAAGAUAAUUUCUCAAUUUCUCUCCUCUAUGGCGUGGAUAUUUGCUCUUUGUUGCCUGGUCUGGGUUCAGGUCACCCAUGUUUGAAGCACACAGCAGAUCACACCAAGCUUCCAGAAGUUUCUGGUUCCCAAAGGUAAAGGCACUCACCUGCAGCAGAGGGAAGCUAAAAUACCUUCCUGUCAUUGGAAAACUUGUUCUCUUCCCUCAGGUUACAAAGGUGAAUGCAAUAAAUAAAGCAAUAGUUAGCUGACA
This is a non-coding RNA of Cyanistes caeruleus (blue tit), 3253 nucleotides long. The record is from RefSeq and is a predicted model, not a curated record. NCBI's taxonomy places the organism in Eukaryota, Metazoa, Chordata, Aves, Passeriformes, Paridae.